Molecule: ribosomal RNA, 52 nt
Filed under: Borya sphaerocephala
Lineage: Eukaryota; Viridiplantae; Streptophyta; Magnoliopsida; Asparagales; Boryaceae
Description: partial 18S ribosomal RNA
Rfam family: Eukaryotic small subunit ribosomal RNA
Source: RNAcentral
AARGAGAAGUYGUAACAAGGUUUCCGUAGGUGAACCUGCGGAAGGAUCAUUG